GGUUAAGCGACUAAGCGUACACGGUGGAUGCCCUGGCAGUCAGAGGCGAUGAAGGACGUGCUAAUCUGCGAUAAGCGUCGGUAAGGUGAUAUGAACCGUUAUAACCGGCGAUUUCCGAAUGGGGAAACCCAGUGUGAUUCGUCACACUAUCAUUAACUGAAUCCAUAGGUUAAUGAGGCGAACCGGGGGAACUGAAACAUCUAAGUACCCCGAGGAAAAGAAAUCAACCGAGAUUCCCCCAGUAGCGGCGAGCGAACGGGGAGCAGCCCAGAGCCUGAAUCAGUGUGUGUGUUAGUGGAAGCGUCUGGAAAGGCGUGCGAUACAGGGUGACAGCCCCGUACACAAAAAUGCACAUGCUGUGAGCUCGAUGAGUAGGGCGGGACACGUGGUAUCCUGUCUGAAUAUGGGGGGACCAUCCUCCAAGGCUAAAUACUCCUGACUGACCGAUAGUGAACCAGUACCGUGAGGGAAAGGCGAAAAGAACCCCGGCGAGGGGAGUGAAAAAGAACCUGAAACCGUGUACGUACAAGCAGUGGGAGCACGCUUAGGCGUGUGACUGCGUACCUUUUGUAUAAUGGGUCAGCGACUUAUAUUCUGUAGCAAGGUUAACCGAAUAGGGGAGCCGAAGGGAAACCGAGUCUUAACUGGGCGUUAAGUUGCAGGGUAUAGACCCGAAACCCGGUGAUCUAGCCAUGGGCAGGUUGAAGGUUGGGUAACACUAACUGGAGGACCGAACCGACUAAUGUUGAAAAAUUAGCGGAUGACUUGUGGCUGGGGGUGAAAGGCCAAUCAAACCGGGAGAUAGCUGGUUCUCCCCGAAAGCUAUUUAGGUAGCGCCUCGUGAAUUCAUCUCCGGGGGUAGAGCACUGUUUCGGCAAGGGGGUCAUCCCGACUUACCAACCCGAUGCAAACUGCGAAUACCGGAGAAUGUUAUCACGGGAGACACACGGCGGGUGCUAACGUCCGUCGUGAAGAGGGAAACAACCCAGACCGCCAGCUAAGGUCCCAAAGUCAUGGUUAAGUGGGAAACGAUGUGGGAAGGCCCAGACAGCCAGGAUGUUGGCUUAGAAGCAGCCAUCAUUUAAAGAAAGCGUAAUAGCUCACUGGUCGAGUCGGCCUGCGCGGAAGAUGUAACGGGGCUAAACCAUGCACCGAAGCUGCGGCAGCGACGCUUAUGCGUUGUUGGGUAGGGGAGCGUUCUGUAAGCCUGCGAAGGUGUGCUGUGAGGCAUGCUGGAGGUAUCAGAAGUGCGAAUGCUGACAUAAGUAACGAUAAAGCGGGUGAAAAGCCCGCUCGCCGGAAGACCAAGGGUUCCUGUCCAACGUUAAUCGGGGCAGGGUGAGUCGACCCCUAAGGCGAGGCCGAAAGGCGUAGUCGAUGGGAAACAGGUUAAUAUUCCUGUACUUGGUGUUACUGCGAAGGGGGGACGGAGAAGGCUAUGUUGGCCGGGCGACGGUUGUCCCGGUUUAAGCGUGUAGGCUGGUUUUCCAGGCAAAUCCGGAAAAUCAAGGCUGAGGCGUGAUGACGAGGCACUACGGUGCUGAAGCAACAAAUGCCCUGCUUCCAGGAAAAGCCUCUAAGCAUCAGGUAACAUCAAAUCGUACCCCAAACCGACACAGGUGGUCAGGUAGAGAAUACCAAGGCGCUUGAGAGAACUCGGGUGAAGGAACUAGGCAAAAUGGUGCCGUAACUUCGGGAGAAGGCACGCUGAUAUGUAGGUGAAGUCCCUCGCGGAUGGAGCUGAAAUCAGUCGAAGAUACCAGCUGGCUGCAACUGUUUAUUAAAAACACAGCACUGUGCAAACACGAAAGUGGACGUAUACGGUGUGACGCCUGCCCGGUGCCGGAAGGUUAAUUGAUGGGGUUAGCGCAAGCGAAGCUCUUGAUCGAAGCCCCGGUAAACGGCGGCCGUAACUAUAACGGUCCUAAGGUAGCGAAAUUCCUUGUCGGGUAAGUUCCGACCUGCACGAAUGGCGUAAUGAUGGCCAGGCUGUCUCCACCCGAGACUCAGUGAAAUUGAACUCGCUGUGAAGAUGCAGUGUACCCGCGGCAAGACGGAAAGACCCCGUGAACCUUUACUAUAGCUUGACACUGAACAUUGAGCCUUGAUGUGUAGGAUAGGUGGGAGGCUUUGAAGUGUGGACGCCAGUCUGCAUGGAGCCGACCUUGAAAUACCACCCUUUAAUGUUUGAUGUUCUAACGUUGACCCGUAAUCCGGGUUGCGGACAGUGUCUGGUGGGUAGUUUGACUGGGGCGGUCUCCUCCUAAAGAGUAACGGAGGAGCACGAAGGUUGGCUAAUCCUGGUCGGACAUCAGGAGGUUAGUGCAAUGGCAUAAGCCAGCUUGACUGCGAGCGUGACGGCGCGAGCAGGUGCGAAAGCAGGUCAUAGUGAUCCGGUGGUUCUGAAUGGAAGGGCCAUCGCUCAACGGAUAAAAGGUACUCCGGGGAUAACAGGCUGAUACCGCCCAAGAGUUCAUAUCGACGGCGGUGUUUGGCACCUCGAUGUCGGCUCAUCACAUCCUGGGGCUGAAGUAGGUCCCAAGGGUAUGGCUGUUCGCCAUUUAAAGUGGUACGCGAGCUGGGUUUAGAACGUCGUGAGACAGUUCGGUCCCUAUCUGCCGUGGGCGCUGGAGAACUGAGGGGGGCUGCUCCUAGUACGAGAGGACCGGAGUGGACGCAUCACUGGUGUUCGGGUUGUCAUGCCAAUGGCACUGCCCGGUAGCUAAAUGCGGAAGAGAUAAGUGCUGAAAGCAUCUAAGCACGAAACUUGCCCCGAGAUGAGUUCUCCCUGACUCCUUGAGAGUCCUGAAGGAACGUUGAAGACGACGACGUUGAUAGGCCGGGUGUGUAAGCGCAGCGAUGCGUUGAGCUAACCGGUACUAAUGAACCGUGAGGCUAACCUUAC
This 2905-nucleotide ribosomal RNA is filed under the name Escherichia coli O157:H43 str. T22. RNAcentral's name for it is "bacterial LSU rRNA". It matches the Rfam family "Bacterial large subunit ribosomal RNA". Lineage: Bacteria; Pseudomonadati; Pseudomonadota; Gammaproteobacteria; Enterobacterales; Enterobacteriaceae. The record is from RNAcentral.